Dreissena polymorpha is the source of this 481-nucleotide long non-coding RNA. RefSeq lists it as uncharacterized. The transcript has 2 exons. Lineage: Eukaryota; Metazoa; Mollusca; Bivalvia; Myida; Dreissenidae. The record is from RefSeq and is a predicted model, not a curated record.
CAAACGUUUCUGCGGUAUCACUAGCUGACGAUUGCAGCCGGAAACUCAAUGCAGAUGACGUCCGUCCCAGAUGGGUCUUGGAUCUCAUAUCGCACUACAAGCCGGAGCUGCAAAUAUAACAGAUACAUGUCAUACACUAAGGUGGAAACCCUCCCAACAAGAUCCUCUGUUUACCGGAUUCCUCUCCGAACCAGACAAAUGUUCUGGCCACGUACGUUUUAUUUUUACUAUACAUACAUAUAUAUUCUUUUUUAGUUCGUGUAUCUUUACACAGACAGAAAAUAAGACUGCUUGUUUCUUACCGAAGGAUAGAUACUCUUUACAGGCAUGCUGGCCUUAAAGGUGUAGUUGUUAUUAGGCGAGAUGGGACAUUUCUCCACAAUGCCGUUGCAAGCGUUGGCAUCAGGAAUAGAAAAGGGAACUGGAACUCCACUCAAAACACCGUGAACGACGGUGGAUAGCUGUGAUUGGCUUGUUUCUG